Maylandia zebra (zebra mbuna) is the source of this 2391-nucleotide non-coding RNA. Lineage: Eukaryota; Metazoa; Chordata; Actinopteri; Cichliformes; Cichlidae. The record is from RefSeq and is a predicted model, not a curated record.
UCACUAUCAGCAAAGAAAGAAAGAAUGGAUGAAAGACUGGAAAUAAAAACAAACGGACUGACUGGUAAAAGAUGACAAGACUUGACCAUGACUCAAGGUUAACCACCUCCACCUAGAUAGGAUAAAAGGGUGGAUGAAUUUAUGUGUGUUUCUUUUACAGGAGUAGAAGGAUGACAAAAUAUUCGAGGAUGAGUGAACCUGUAAAUGCCAUUUUUGUGUCUUGUGUUGCUUACAGAGGUAACUGCGCAGCGUUACCAUUUACAUUUUCUUCCCUACAGGGUUACAGUUUUAAUGUUUUUCUAUUACAGGAUUUCUGGGCGGAUGUGUGAAGAAACGGUGUUUAUGGGUUAGGAGUGGGGGAUGUUAUUACACUGUAUUCUGGUGAGAGUGUUGGGGGAGACACACCCUGUCUUGAAAACUGUGAUUCUUUUACAGGAAAUGUUUUUAUAGCACCUAUGGAAUGAGGAUGGCUGACUACGGUCAAUGUGCUGCUGAUGUUUGCUUUGCUUUGGUGAGAGGGGUGCAGUAGAAAACAGACAAGUGACAUGAAAACAAGUAAUAAUAACAAAUAACAAAUUUGGGGACAGGUUAACCUAGAGCCCACUAACUGGCCAUUAGGGGCUCUCUCUCUCUUGGAAUAACAUUGCCCAAAGGGUGAAUAAAGCAAAUUCUGGCAAUAAUAGUGGUUUAAUGAUUGGAGAAAUCCUGAACAUGAUACUUGUCUGUUGUGCUGAAUCGUUUAUUACUCUUAUGAUUUGCAGGUGGGACCAUGAAGAUUUUUUGGUACAGAUUGCAGGUUGUUGCUCAUUAUUGAAGUGUGCUCAUAAAGGUAAAAGCUAUAUAGGGGGUAUAUCAUUUGGUCUGUGUUUUAAUAAUUUAGGUAUGGCAAAAUUAAAGGUUUCUAGACAAUUUAGGGAACGAGUGAGAAGCAUAAUUAGAUGAUCAGAAACUGAGGACUACACUCAUGUUAGAAUUGAGAAUGCCCAAUUUGUUUGAGGUCUGUUGUUCGUUUUUAUACACACCUUGCAAAUGUGCUUAUAAGGAGCUGGCACGUAGUCUGGGAAGGUCAAAAGCUUCAUCCGACAACGGAUCGGAUUGAUAUAUUGGUGCUAUUGACUUCACGUGCAGAGGGUUAAAUGCAUGCCCGCUUACACACAUAAGCAUGGCAUAGGAUUGGAAUAAACAAAGUCAACGACAUUAGGUUAGGAGAGCCAGCGCAGGAGAGGUGUUGGCUUUCUGUCUCUUGCAGAGAAGGGAACAAACACCAGACGGGGACACGGAGAUAUGGGGACCCUUCACAGCAACUGGGGUCAAGUGUCAUGGCCUUGGGGCUCCUUGAUAAGAUGGAUCCCAUAACCACAAGCGAUAACCAGGAAGGGGUUGGCGAAACCUAGGAACACCAGAGACCAACGUGGUUCGAGAGGCUUUUGGCAAAAAGGGGGACACGGCGGUCACAACGGACAACAAACACACAGAUUUGUGUAGCGACUGAAGGGUGGUCUAACCCCGGAAGUCGAAGAAAGAAGAAUCCGAGGGCGUUUCUUCACUCCAAGAGGAGGUGGUAAAGGGGCCUGAAGCGUGUCAGGCUGAAACUCGAGUCCGAAGCUAAAAGAACAGCUGGGUUGUGGGAAAUUUGGAAAACAACGGAGGUGUUGGGAUUGAUAAGUGUCAUAACGUGUUUGUUUGGUUUGGUAAUAAAUCCUGGUGUGAGUUGGGCUGGCAAGCCAGCCCAAAGAGGAGGAAUGUGACCAGGAGAUAUUUUAUUUUGUAUUCUUAUGAUCACAGUUAUAAUCAGAAGUAUCAAUCAUUAAUCAUUUACCAUUGUUGAACCAGUUGACAGAAUAAUCUUUGAACCAUAUCUAGGUUAACAUUAAUCUACACAGAUUAUCAGUACUCUAAUCAGUCUAUUGUUGUUCUGUACUACUCAUGUUAUUUGCUUAAAGCUGUUUCACAGUUCUGUAAUCACUCAGAAGCCUGUGGGGCCUGCUGGACCCUGCCUUGGUUCUAUGUUCCGUUCUGCACGUACACAGGCCUUGAAAGUACAUGCACGCUCUUAUACAACACAUGAAUGUGUACACACACCCUUAGUAAGAAUAGGAGGGUUGUCUGAGGACAGUUUUCUGACAGAUAUACUUUCACAAAAGGCACGAAUGUAAUACACACUUGUUUUCUCUAACAACUAGCAGUUGAUGUCCAUAUUAGGUAAACUCUCUGAACAGGCCCAAAACUGUUAUCAUUUCCAGUAAGGUCUGACUGUGUUACGUCAUCAUGGGAUCAUGGGUUAUAUAAGGAUGGGGAGCGGUCCACUCUUUGGAGAUCUGUGGCUGUACGCUUGUCUUCCCAUGCUUCUGUCUUAGAAGUGUGCAAUAAAAUCACUAUGUUUGUCACCUA